RNAcentral lists this ribosomal RNA (328 nucleotides) under Aeromonas salmonicida subsp. salmonicida. RNAcentral's name for it is "bacterial LSU rRNA". It matches the Rfam family "Bacterial large subunit ribosomal RNA", at positions 2625 to 2925 of the family's 2925-position model. The record is from RNAcentral. Lineage: Bacteria; Pseudomonadati; Pseudomonadota; Gammaproteobacteria; Aeromonadales; Aeromonadaceae.
GACAGUUCGGUCCCUAUCUGCCGUGGGCGUUGGAUGAUUGAAGGGAGUUGCUCCUAGUACGAGAGGACCGGAGUGAACGAACCUCUGGUGUUCGGGUUGUCACGCCAGUGGCACUGCCCGGUAGCUAAGUUCGGAAUCGAUAACCGCUGAAAGCAUCUAAGCGGGAAGCGAGCCCUGAGAUGAGUCAUCCCUGACCCCUUGAGGGUCCUAAAGGGCCGUUGGAGACCACAACGUUGAUAGGUGGGGUGUGUAAGYGCAGUGAUGUGUUGAGCUAACCCAUACUAAUUACCCGUGAGGCUUAACCAUACAACACCCAAGAAGUGUUCUG